UUAGGUGGCUGUAGGCCUCAGUGUUUGUGGGCUAGCGCCCCUCAGGAGGCUGGGGACUAUGCCUGGCCCAGGUCCCAUGGCUGGAAUACCUAGCAGCUUUCCCCGGUUACCAUGGAGACCCCAGGGAGAAGAGGAGGGAGGUCCUCUCUGGUAUCAUCCAGCAGCUUCUAAGUUUCUUUCCUCUUGGUCUAAGCUGUGGCCCUUCGCCCAGCUGCCAGUGCCACCCACACUGGGCCCCUGGCGGAGGAAAGAGGAGCUCUUGACCUCUGGGGGCUUCGGGCUGCGGGCGACCCGCGGCCACGGAGGAGGAGGGAGCGGGCUGUGCCUCGCGGCUGGCCAGGCAGAACUGCCAUGAAGAAAAUUAUGAGGUGAAUUAAACUUUAAUUUGAUUUUUAUUUGGUUUCAGCAACCAAUAAAGGGACAGCAAUUUUCCAAGUCCUGUCAGCGGUUGGAGGAAUGCUUUGAGAACAUCUGUUUUAUUAACAGCGGCAACAAUAAAAGCCGAUCCCGUGUUUGUAGCGGAGAUGCCUUCUCAGGGCUUCUCAAGGUCACCUAGAUGACGUAGAGUCACAAAAGCUGGGAUGUGCCAACCGUGGCUUACCGUAAGGUCUUGCUCGUGCUCUGUCUCUCUCUGCCUCAAGUACCCCAAUGUUUAUAGCAGCGCUUUCAACAACAGCCAAAUUAUAGAAAGACCCUAAAUGUCCAUCAACUGACGAAUGGAUAAAGAAGAUGUGGUUUAUAUAUACAAUGGAAUACUCCUUGGCAAUGAGAAAGAAUGAAAUCCUGCCAUUUGCAGCAACGUGGAUGGAACUGGAAGGUAUUAUCCUAAGUGAAAUAAGUCAGUCAGAGAAGGACAGAUAUCAUAUGUUUUCACUCAUAUGUGGAUCUUGAGAAACUUAACAGAAGUCCACAGGGGAAGGGAAGGGGAAAAAAAUAGUUACAAACAAAGAGGGAGGAAGGCAAACCACAAGAGACUCUAAAAUACAGAGAACAAACUGAGGGUGGAUGUGAGGGGGGGGUGGGGAAAAAUGGGUGAUGGGCAUUGAGGAGGGCACUUGUUGGGAUGAGCGCUGGGUGUUGUAUGUAAGCCAAUGUGACGAUACAUUGUAUUAAAAAAUAA
Neofelis nebulosa (Clouded leopard) is the source of this 1120-nucleotide long non-coding RNA. RefSeq lists it as uncharacterized. Lineage: Eukaryota; Metazoa; Chordata; Mammalia; Carnivora; Felidae. The record is from RefSeq and is a predicted model, not a curated record. The transcript is spliced from 3 exons.